CCAUGGCCUGGUGGCGCUGGGCUUGGCUGAGGCGGCCUCCAGGCCCCGACACGCCGAGCACCAGCGGCUCCAGGAGCGGCCAGUGAAGGCCCCACUUGACCAACAAACACUUCUGUGGGUCGCCAUGAGGUGACUUCACCUCAGUGUGUGCCUUAGGGGGCUUUGGGAUGGCCGCAGCCCGCCGGUGCAGCAGGGCUGGGGCGAGGACUGCUCCCCGCUGCUGCCCCAGGCCCUGGCUGCGCAGGGAGCCCUCACGGUGGGACAGGUUCUGCAUCAACCAUUGAACAACGCAUUGGUAACAGCACGUAUACGACCACCAGCAUGGGCACAAUAACAUCAGUGUCACUCCCGUAACGCUGUACAUUUUGUUAUCCAUUUGCACAAUGUAUUAUGCCUGACUGAUCCAUUUCCCCUGCUAUUGAGUGGUAGAUUGUGGAUUAGUACCUCGAGCCAACACCAGUCUGCAUGGGAAUGUAAUAGGAUCUUGCAUCAUUUUUAAUGACUCUGAUUAAACAGCUGGCUUCAGAAGAGUGUGCGCUGCGUGGCCCUUCUCGGGGGAGAAGUCUCGGGGGUGCUGGUGGCACCGCAAAGCAGCUCUCGUCCGUCUGUCCUCCUGUGCCGGCACGCUGGGUGCUCUCCCCUGCGCCUCAGGGAAAAUGCAGGGCUUUCCAAAGCGUGCACAGCCAUCAUUUGCCUUAAGUGGAAGCCGUCCUUGCAGGCUGCCUGCUGGGAGCCAGCCGCUGACCGCCUCUGCUCCUGGCGACCCAAAGAGACCCGUGGCAGCUGCCACUGUCACACCGGCCACGUACUGACGGUGCAAAUACCCAACGCAGCUGAAAUGCUGACGUGUAAUUGUCUAAUUGUUUCUGUAUUUACAAGCCAUGGGAGAGAAUAAAGACGUUGCUUUCUUUCUGUGUGGGUGGUGGCAUUCGAUACAGCUGUGCUCACAGCAGCCACCUAAGUGAGGUAGGGUGAGUGACUGCGGGCUUUAAUUCUCCACCUGGAAACACCCCAAGAGAAAUGUGAAGUGUCCUCACCACACUUUAUUGUGCCACGAACUACCCGAGGCUUUUGGAGGGCUCGUAUUUGACAAGACGUUCACAGAGCGGCUGAAAGCCAUUUACCAAACCAAUAUUAACACGCACGUUAGAUUUCCAGGCUUACUUCUGGAGCCAGAGGCCUGCCGACCGCGCUCCCCUGCCUUUUCUGGAUCACUUCUCAUGCUCUUUGUGGCCACCCAGUGUCCCCCUGGAGAUCAAGAAGCACGGACGUGCUCCCCCUUCGAUGGCUUCCCAUCAAGGACAGUCAUGAAGCAUUCAGGCUUGACCUGGAUCUUGUGCUAGAACACGGGCCUGCCCACAGCUCCUGGACUGCAGUGUGAGGACAGAUGUUUGCGGCCAGUUUCUGAGCUGAACGCUUGCUUCCCAGGGAGGAGCCAUCACGAAGGUGUGUGGGCACUCCCGGGGAAAUGCCAGGAGGCAGAGCUGUCACAGCACGCGUUUCCUUGUGUGAAGGAAAAUAGGAUUUCCUUGCUUCUGAUCUGAGUGGUCUGCAGAAGGAAAUCUGACUGUCAGCAUUAGCAGGGACUUCUGCCCUGCUCCCCCCUUCCACUCCGUGGGACCACCGAGGGUGGCAGCUCCUCACGCCUGCCGCCAGCUAUGCACGAGCAAGGAUGCAUUAAGGGAGCUGUGAUUGAAAGAUGACACACAAAUUACGCGGUGUUGCUACUGAGAUGGCUCUGAUUACAGCUGCCUUGUACAUCUUCUGUAAAUUCCUGCGCUCGCUGUGUUAUUCCCCUGCAAGGGUUUGUAAGUAUUAAAUUAAUUUGGCGGUGUGGGGUUGUAAGGAAGAAGAUGUUCGCGCGCCACGAGAAGCUGCAAGCGCCACCUUAUCGGAGCUUCGUCUGCCCCUCGGAAGCCUUUUUCCUGCGCUGGAAAAUCCACAGCCUGUAAGAAGCUGAAGUAAAGGACCUCAUUCAGGGCAGAGCUGGGGGCUGUUGACUGAACCCAAGGGGAUGUGCUAGGGCAGAAGUGGGUCUGAUUUAGUUAAACUUCAUUUAUCCUUGUGUAGUUUCCCUGAAAUUUUAGGGUUUACCCAAAGCACUCUGCAAAUGCUGCAUAUUUUCACGUACAUGCACUCGUGCCUCGUUUGUUGGCUUCUUCUGUGGAGUUUCUUCCCUUUGAUAUCUAGGACAUGGGGCGGCGCCAGGGGGGGUUUGAUAUAAAAUGCACGUGACGCCGGUCACUCCGAUAUUAAUGAACAGUUUUCUGCCAUACACUGGGGUCGUCGUGGCUUUUUCAGGAGGCUGACAUCAAGUAACAGGUGAAGGUCAGAGCUGUGUAAUUGAAAACUGAAACGUGAGCACAGCAUCUGGUUUGCUCUCUGCUGCAGUGCGAGACUUCACCUUUAACUCGCUAAAUAGCUCUUAAGAGAGAUUAUCAUUAAAAUCUGGCAGCAACUCAACUGGAGUACAUCUGUGCGCUGUAAAAUAAAAUUGUAUUUAAUGGCAGAAGAGUUGGACCAGCUGAUGGCCCUGCACACGGGUUAAAACCGAAGGAAACCUGUAGAAGCGGUAUUAAAUAAAGGCGAUUUGGGGUACAAAGCCCAAAUGACAGAGGUGAGGGGGAAGGAGUGGGUGCUUUGCGUGGUUCCCACCCAUUUCCCAGCUCUGCCUCCACCCAAGGAG
Molecule: long non-coding RNA, 2686 nt
Organism: Cygnus olor (mute swan)
Lineage: Eukaryota; Metazoa; Chordata; Aves; Anseriformes; Anatidae
Exons: 6
Source: RefSeq, a predicted model, not a curated record